AGCUAAUACAUGCACCAAAGCUCUGACCUUGCGGAAAGAGUGCAUUUAUUAGAGCAAAACCAAGCGGCCUCGGUCGUUUUUUGCUGACUCAGAAUAACUUAGCUGAUCGCACGGUCUUUGAACCGGCGACGUGUCUUUUGAGUAUCUGCCUUAUCAAUUUUCGAUGGUAGUGUAUCUGACUACCAUGGUGUUGACGGGUAACGGAGAAUAAGGGUUCGACUCCGGAGAAGGGGCCUGAGAAAUGGCCACUACGUCUAAGGAUGGCAGCAGGCGCGCAAAUUACCCACUCUCGGAAUGAGGAGGUAGUGACGAGAAAUAACGAGACCGUUCUCUAUGAGGCCGGUUAUCGGAAUGGGUACAAUUUAAACCCUUUAACGAGUAUCUAUGAGAGGGCAAGUCUGGUGCCAGCAGCCGCGGUAAUUCCAGCUCUCAAAAUGCAUAGAACCAUUGCUGCGGUUAAAAAGCUCGUAGUUGAAUUUAUGCCAGAGGCCUGGUCCACCUUAUGGGUGUGUACUAGGUUCUUCGGCUUUUCGUCGGUUUUCUUGUCGUGGCCUUUACUGGUGGCGGCAAGUGGCUGACAAUUUUACUUUGAACAAAUCAGAGUGCUCAAAACAGGCGUUUUGCUUGUAUGCUUUUGCAUGGAAUAAUAGAAUAUGACUUCGGUCUAGUUUUAUUGGUUUUAUAGACCGUUGUAAUGAUUAAAAGAGACAAACGGGGGCAUUCGUAUUGUUGCGUGAGAGGUGAAAUUCUUGGACCGCAGCAAGACGACCUACAGCGAAAGCAUUUGCCAAGCUUGUCUUCAUUAAUC
Molecule: ribosomal RNA, 808 nt
Filed under: Howardula sp. 2121 #4 JPD-2022
Lineage: Eukaryota; Metazoa; Nematoda; Chromadorea; Rhabditida; Allantonematidae
Description: SSU rRNA
Rfam family: Eukaryotic small subunit ribosomal RNA
Source: RNAcentral